GCUGGACAAGGCUGCCUUCCUGCUCCACAAGACCAAAUCAGUCCAUGACUUUACAUUAUACGCAGGACAUGCCUGAAUUGCACAACACAAUUGCAGUGUCAGGGCAGGUGACAUGGUACUCAAGAGGUCCAUGGGCAUUGUGAUUAUGAAGGUAGUCUCAUGAGUAGCACGCUCUAGUUUUCUCUUAUGCCUCCUAGUCCUAUUAUUUGCACUAGAAGAAAUAGGAGGGUUGUGAUUCAUUGUUAGGUAUGCCAUUGUAGAAGAUUCUUAAGAUUCACUGGCACUGA
RNAcentral lists this long non-coding RNA (287 nucleotides) under Oryza brachyantha (malo sina). RNAcentral's name for it is "long non-coding RNA (OBRA_LNC001646)". Lineage: Eukaryota; Viridiplantae; Streptophyta; Magnoliopsida; Poales; Poaceae. The record is from RNAcentral.